UGAGUUUGAUCCUGGUUCAGGACGAACGCUGGCGGCGUGCUUAACACAUGCAAGUCGAACGAUGAUGCCCAGCUUGCUGGGUUGAUUAGUGGCGAACGGGUGAGUAACACGUGAGUAACCUGCCCUUGACUUCGGGAUAACUCCGGGAAACCGGGGCUAAUACCGGAUAUGAGCCGUCCUCGCAUGGGGGUGGUUGGAAAGUUUUUCGGUCAGGGAUGGGCUCGCGGCCUAUCAGCUUGUUGGUGGGGUGAUGGCCUACCAAGGCGACGACGGGUAGCCGGCCUGAGAGGGCGACCGGCCACACUGGGACUGAGACACGGCCCAGACUCCUACGGGAGGCAGCAGUGGGGAAUAUUGCACAAUGGGCGAAAGCCUGAUGCAGCGACGCCGCGUGAGGGAUGAAGGCCUUCGGGUUGUAAACCUCUUUCAGCAGGGAAGAAGCGCAAGUGACGGUACCUGCAGAAGAAACGCCGGCUAACUACGUGCCAGCAGCCGCGGUAAUACGUAGGCGCAAGCGUUGUCCGGAAUUAUUGGGCGUAAAGAGCUCGUAGGCGGUUUGUCGCGUCUGGUGUGAA
Molecule: ribosomal RNA, 575 nt
Filed under: Cellulosimicrobium sp. MV1
Lineage: Bacteria; Bacillati; Actinomycetota; Actinomycetes; Micrococcales; Promicromonosporaceae
Description: bacterial SSU rRNA
Rfam family: Bacterial small subunit ribosomal RNA
Source: RNAcentral